This 83-nucleotide transfer RNA is filed under the name Pseudovibrio axinellae. RNAcentral's name for it is "Pseudovibrio sp. Ad2 tRNA". It matches the Rfam family "tRNA". From Rfam's summary of the family: Transfer RNA (tRNA) molecules are approximately 80 nucleotides in length. Lineage: Bacteria; Pseudomonadati; Pseudomonadota; Alphaproteobacteria; Hyphomicrobiales; Stappiaceae. The record is from Rfam by way of RNAcentral.
GCGGUCGUGGUGGAAUUGGUAUACACAGCAGACUUAAAAUCUGCCGCCGAUUAGGCUUGCGGGUUCGAGUCCCGCCGUCCGCA